Molecule: ribosomal RNA, 467 nt
Filed under: uncultured bacterium
Lineage: Bacteria
Description: bacterial SSU rRNA
Rfam family: Bacterial small subunit ribosomal RNA
Source: RNAcentral
ACCAGACUCCUACGGGAGGCAGCAGUGAGGAAUAUUGGUCAAUGGACGAGAGUCUGAACCAGCCAAGUAGCGUGAAGGAUGACUGCCCUAUGGGGUGUAAACUUCUUUUAGAAAGGAAUAAAACGAGGCACGUGUGGCGGUUUGCAUGUACGUGAUGAAUAAGGAUCUGCUAACUCCGGGCCGUCAGCCGCUGUAAUACGGAGGAUCCGAGCGUUAUCCGGAUUUAUUGGGUUUAAAGGGAGCGUAGAUGGGUUGUUAAGUCAGUUGUGAAAGUUUGCGCCUCAACCGUAAAAUUGCAAUUGAUACUGGCAGUCUUGAGUACAGUUGAGGUAGGCGGAAUUCGUGGUGUAGCGGUGAAAUGCUUAGAUCUCCCGCAGAACCCCGAUUGCGAAGGCAGCUUACUAAACUGUGACUGACAUUGAUGCUCGAAAGUGUGGGUAUCAAACGGGAUUAGAUACCCGCGUAGC